CCUACGGGGGGCAGCAGUGGGGAAUAUUGGACAAUGGGGGGAACCCUGAUCCAGCCAUGCCGCGUGUGUGAAGAAGGCCCUCGGGUUGUAAAGCACUUUCAGUGAGGAAGAACGCCUGGUGGUUAAUACCCAUCAGGAAAGACAUCACUCACAGAAGAAGCACCGGCUAACUCCGUGCCAGCAGCCGCGGUAAUACGGAGGGUGCGAGCGUUAAUCGGAAUUACUGGGCGUAAAGCGCGCGUAGGUGGCUUGAUAAGCCGGUUGUGAAAGCCCCGGGCUCAACCUGGGAACGGCAUCCGGACCUGUCAAGCUAGAGUGCAGGAGAGGAAGGUAGAAUUCCCGGUGUAGCGGUGAAAUGCGUAGAGAUCGGCAGGAAUACAGUGGCGAAGGCGGCCUUCUGGACUGACACUGACACUGAGGUGCGAAAGCGUGGGUAGCAAACAGGAUUAGAUACCCGGGUAGUC
Molecule: ribosomal RNA, 464 nt
Filed under: Vreelandella stevensii
Lineage: Bacteria; Pseudomonadati; Pseudomonadota; Gammaproteobacteria; Oceanospirillales; Halomonadaceae
Description: partial 16S ribosomal RNA
Rfam family: Bacterial small subunit ribosomal RNA
Source: RNAcentral